GUGCCAGCCGCCGCGGUAAGACAGAGGGGGCAAGCGUUGUCCGGAUUUACUGGGCGUACAGCGCGCGCAGGCGGUCGUGUAGGUACCUGGUGACAGUCUCGGGCUCAACUCGAGGGGGUCUGGGUAGACCGCGCGACUGGAGGCAGGGAGAGGGAUGUGGAAUACCCGGUGGAGCGGUGAAAUGCGUAGAGAUCGGGUGGAACACCAGUGGCGAAGGCGGCAUCCUGGCCCUGACCUGACGCUGAGGCGCGAGAGCGUGGGGAGCAAACGGGAUUAGAUACCCGUGUAGUCC
RNAcentral lists this ribosomal RNA (292 nucleotides) under uncultured bacterium. RNAcentral describes it as "partial 16S ribosomal RNA". It matches the Rfam family "Bacterial small subunit ribosomal RNA", at positions 505 to 796 of the family's 1533-position model. The record is from RNAcentral.